AGUAGGGCAUAGGAGCAGUGGUGUGUGUGAGUGGUGCAAUGUGUAAGGGGUGCAGUGUGUGUGUGUGUGAGGGGGACAGUGUGUGAGCAGUGUGUGUGUGUGUGUGUGAAGGUUGUAGUGUGUGAGUGGGGGGGCAGUGUAUGUCAGGGAUGCAGUGUAUGUGUGGGACAGUAUGUGUGUGUAACAGUUGCAGUGUGUGUGUG
This is a non-coding RNA of Pelobates cultripes (western spadefoot toad), 203 nucleotides long. The record is from the annotation of a GenBank genome assembly. Lineage: Eukaryota; Metazoa; Chordata; Amphibia; Anura; Pelobatidae.